RNAcentral lists this ribosomal RNA (301 nucleotides) under uncultured bacterium. RNAcentral describes it as "partial 16S ribosomal RNA". It matches the Rfam family "Bacterial small subunit ribosomal RNA", at positions 509 to 807 of the family's 1533-position model. The record is from RNAcentral.
CAGUAGCCGCGGGAAUACGAAGGGGGCUAGCGUUGCUCGGAAUCACUGGGCGUAAAGGGUGCGUAGGCGGGUUUUUAAGUCAGAGGUGAAAUCCCCGGGCUUAACCCGGAAACUGCCGUUGAUACUAUCUGUCUUGAAUAUAGUGGAGGUGAGCGGAAUAUGUCAUGUAGCGGUGAAAUGCUUAGAUAUGACAUAGAACACCGAUUGCGAAGGCAGCUCGCUACACUAUUAUUGACGCUGAGGCACGAAAGCGUGGGGAUCAAACAGGAUUAGAUACCCCUGUAGUCCCUGUCUCUUAUAC